GAGAGCGUAAAAAUGGAAAAGCGUGAGAGAUUUGUGUUGACGGUGUUGUCACCACCAGUCGUUUCUGGCGCUGUGGUGGUAUGCGUAUCUGGGACAUUAAGGAGAGUUCAAUAGAGAGUAGAUCUUAAGUUUAAAGACAGCAGGGGUGAAGCAGAUCUGAGCAAUUGGUAAUAAAAUCAUGGAAGAAGAAGCCAGUUACAAGGUGGUCACCUUUAAAGAAUACAAGUUAGCAGUCGUACCUUUCGCUUCGUGUGUAAGAAUCAACCGAAGCUAAAAAUCAAGAAGCCCUUUAUCAUGAGUCACAACUGGAGAUCGCUAAACUGAAUCUGAUCGCAUAUUAGAAUAUUCUUUUAUUGUUGUUUAUUAUUUAUGUUAUCAGUUUAUUUUGGUAUUGUUUUCAUUACUAUGUAUUUAAACUACAAAUCAUCAAUAAUAUAGUGAUCAAUGUUGAAACUUUUGAGAUGACAAAUUAAUAAUUAGUUAAGCCAGAAGUUUGAUGAUAAAUUAGCGAUGAAAUAUAAAAAAGUAAUAUGAAUUAGUGACAAUUAUUUAGUAAUAAAAUGUUACAAAGUUUAAGGCCACGAAUAGUCACGAUAAAGAUGGAUUAGUAAUUAUUUUUUUGCGACGGUUUGAAACUUUAUUUUAGUGGUAACUAGAGACGAAAUUAAGACGUGUAGACAGUCACGUAAUAUGACAAUUUUGUGAUGUUCAUUGUGGUUGGUAAUUGUAACGUUUUUCUUACUUUAGUAAAUAGUUGCUAUCUGUGACGAAAUAGUUACAAUAUAUAUCGUCAUAAACGGAGUGACGUUUUUUGUUACCAACAAAAUUUGUGACGAUCAUAUUGUCACCAUUUUAAGAACGUCACAAACUGGUCACAAUAUUUUUAUUGUUACGAAUUAUUCUUUAUUGUGACAAGAAAAUUUGUAACAAUAUGGCUAUUUUUUUAUAGUGAAUACAGGGACACAGACAAUUAACGAGUUCCUGAAAGAAAAAAAACGUCAAAAACAUUUACAUUUUUUCUAUAAUUUAGCGGGUCAAAACUCAACCGACUAAUAAUUUGGAAGUUUGUUUACCAGCACUAGAUAUAUCUGGUACAUUUUAUUUUAUGCAUGAACUUAAAAACUAUGCAUGUUAUAAAAAACUUAACACUAUGUAGAAUAAUAUAUAUUAGGUCUAAAUAAUACCACAAGUUAAAACUUCUUACGUGAAACAGUCGGAGAUUGAGUUUUCUUUGCUAUAGUUUUUCUCCGGGAAUAGACACGUAGACAAUCUUCUUAUACGUACAUGCUCAAGUACGUAUCAUUGAUUCAAUAAAUAACUUCUUAUUUAAUGCAUGUUGAGAAGAAAAGAAAUAGACUCGAUUAAUAUUUUGUUUUGUUUUGUUUUUAGAAAUUAAUAAUAUACACCGAGAAUUUCAUAAUAGUGUUAGAAAUAUCAUCACCGUAACACGUACACACGAAAAUUAUCGGGUAUUAAUAUAAUAUAUUACUGAAAGAACUAAAGUGACAUUGUGGGAAACAAAAUAACAUUACAAAUGUGCAGUUUUUUUGCGGGCAUGAUACUUUUAUGAUUUUAUCAUAUGCUUAUAUUAACGCAAUUCGAGCGUACCAUUCCUUUUAUAUACAAAAUAAAAUAAUAUUACGGUCGUUAUCAAAAUGUUUAAGUGGAAAAAAUAAAUGCACACUGACUUUAUAAUAUAUGGCAUAUCAUCGCAUAUUCGAUAAAUUAACUUUAUUUUGAAAUUAUUUGGAAACCAGCUUUUGUUGGCAACUGUUGAUAACCACUGUGCAAGUACUUCUGGUAUAUUUGUCUUAUUGUUAUAUUUUAAAGGAAAUAUAAUAAAACAAACUAUAUUCAUUUUCUUAACAAUUGUUCAAAUUGUUUGAAAGUGUGUAUUCUUUCCUUAAAUAAAAGCUACGAAAUUACGUAAUAUGAUUUACAUAUAUAUGACAAUUAAUGAUUAUGAAUAAUAGUUUAAAGACAGCAGGGGUGAAGCAGAUCUGAGCAAUUGGUAAUAAAAUCAUGGAAGAAGAAGCCAGUUACAAGGUGGUCACCUUUAAAGAAUACAAGUUAGCAGUCGUACCUUUCGCUUCGUGUGUAAGAAUCAACCGAAGCUAAAAAUCAAGAAGCCCUUUAUCAUGAGUCACAACUGGAGAUCGCUAAACUGAAUCUGAUCGCAUAUUAGAAUAUUCUUUUAUUGUUGUUUAUUAUUUAUGUUAUCAGUUUAUUUUGGUAUUGUUUUCAUUACUAUGUAUUUAAACUACAAAUCAUCAAUAAUAUAGUGAUCAAUGUUGAAACUUUUGAGAUGACAAAUUAAUAAUUAGUUAAGCCAGAAGUUUGAUGAUAAAUUAGC
This 2353-nucleotide long non-coding RNA is filed under the name Brassica napus (rape). RNAcentral's name for it is "long non-coding RNA (BNAP_LNC004013)". Lineage: Eukaryota; Viridiplantae; Streptophyta; Magnoliopsida; Brassicales; Brassicaceae. The record is from RNAcentral.